GUACACGCUGUGACUAGCAUAUCAAUAAGCGGAGGAAAAGAAACUAACAAGGAUUCCCUUAGUAACGGCGAGUGAAGCGGGAAGAGCUCAAAUUUGAAAUCUUCAAGGUUUUACCUUGACGAAUUGUAGUUUAAAGAAGUGUUUUCUGUUGAAGUUUUGGUAAAAGUUCUUUGGAAUAGGACAUCAUAGAGGGUGAGAAUCCCGUAUUUGACCAUUAUUUUCAGCUGUGUGAUACACUUUCAAAGAGUCGGGUUGUUUGGGAAUGCAGUCCAAAAUGGGUGGUAAAUUUCAUCUAAAGCUAAAUAUUGGCGAGAGACCGAUAGCGAACAAGUACCGUGAGGGAAAGAUGAAAAGAACUUUGAAAAGAGAGUUAAACAGUACGUGAAAUUGUCAAAAGGGAAGCGUUUGACACCAGUGUUGUUUUCUCGAAAAUCAAUUAAAAAAAGUUGGAUUUUGUGUUGUAUUGACCUUAACAGCUUUCUUCACUCUUUUCCUGCUUUUUUUAAUGCACUUUUCGUUUAACAAGUCAACAUCAGUUUCUUUUGUUGUAAAAGGGUCAUUGGAAGGUGGCUUUCUUUUCGGAGAAAGUGUUUAUAGCCUUUGGCCUCUGCAAUCGGAGAGACUGAGGUCUGCAGCGUAGACUCUUCGGGGUUAGAUACAUUUGUGCUAAGUUAUAGCUUUUUAUAGACAACUUGUUGACUAUAAUUAGUCUUGUAGCUUACUCGCUUAUGCUAUUUUACCUACGCUUAGGAUGUUGAACUACUGAGACAUAGA
RNAcentral lists this ribosomal RNA (774 nucleotides) under uncultured Neocallimastigales. RNAcentral describes it as "partial large subunit ribosomal RNA". It matches the Rfam family "Eukaryotic large subunit ribosomal RNA", at positions 22 to 634 of the family's 3401-position model. Lineage: Eukaryota; Fungi; Neocallimastigomycota; Neocallimastigomycetes; Neocallimastigales. The record is from RNAcentral.